RNAcentral lists this ribosomal RNA (775 nucleotides) under uncultured Neocallimastigales. RNAcentral describes it as "partial large subunit ribosomal RNA". It matches the Rfam family "Eukaryotic large subunit ribosomal RNA", at positions 23 to 632 of the family's 3401-position model. Lineage: Eukaryota; Fungi; Neocallimastigomycota; Neocallimastigomycetes; Neocallimastigales. The record is from RNAcentral.
AGAGAGAGACAUGCGCGCAUAUCAAUAAGCGGAGGAAAAGAAACUAACUAGGAUUCCCUCAGUAACGGCGAGUGAAGCGGGAAGAGCUCAAAUUUGAAAUCUUCAAGGUUCUACCUUGACGAAUUGUAGUUUAAAGAAGUGUUUUCUGUUGGAGUUUUGGUAAAAGUUCUUUGGAAUAGGACAUCAUAGAGGGUGAGAAUCCCGUAUUUGACCAUUACUUUCCAGCUUUGUGAUACACUUUCAAAGAGUCGGAUUGUUUGGGAAUGCAGUCCAAAAUGGGUGGUAAAUUUCAUCUAAAGCUAAAUAUUGGCGAGAGACCGAUAGCGAACAAGUACCGUGAGGGAAAGAUGAAAAGAACUUUGAAAAGAGAGUUAAACAGUACGUGAAAUUGUCAAAAGGGAAGCGUUUGACACCAGUGUUGUUUUCUCGAAAAUCAAUUAAAAAUGGCCGGAUUUUGUGUUGUAUUGACCUUAAAAGCUUUCUUCACUCUUUUCUUGUCUUUUUUAAUGCACUUUUCGUUUAACAAGUCAACAUCAGUUUCUUUUGUUGUUAAAGGGUCAUUGGAAGGUGGCUUUCUUUUCGGAGAAAGUGUUUAUAGCCUUUGGCCUCUGCAAUCGGAGAGAUUGAGGUCUGCAGCGUAGAUCCUUCGGGGUUAGAUACAUUUGUGCUAAGUUAUAGCCUUUCAUAGACAACUUGUUGACUAUGAUCAGUCAUGUAGCUUACUCGCUUAUGCUAUUUUACCUACGCUUAGGAUGUUGACAGCAGUAUAGACUGU